AGUUUGGCACAUAGUAGCUGCUUAAUAAAUACUUGUUGAAAACCAAACAGAAAGAAAACAAGACAGUAUGACCUAUUAAAGGAAUGUGACUGGGGGCCACACUCACCUAUGGGCACGAUGAUCCCAAUAACAGCGGCAGUGACUGUUGAGCCCAUCUUACUGUCUUCAUUCCCAUCUGCAAAACACAAACGUUUGCAGAACGAUGCUCUAUCACUGUGUGUCCAAGCCCCUACUGGCCUCAAGUGAUCCUCCUGACAGCUCCCUGUGGUGUGAAAAGGAGCUAUCAACUACACUUGCUGCAGGUGAGAUGACUGUCCUGGCAAUGGCCCAAGGCCCAUCCUCUCUCAAUGUGACUGUUUAUCCAUGUUACUCCAAGAGAAUCUAACAGUUAAGGGGAGAAAAAGCUGCACUGCUUGCUUCCAGAGCUAACUGUGGAAAUGCUGCUGUCCUCCCUGCUCUGGGCCACAGCGAACACUGGACAGUGAUAUUAAAACCUAGAGCAUGAUGAAGCCAGUGAGGAGAAGCUGGUGAGAGGCUCUGCCCUCAGAUGAGAGGAACUGGAAUUCACACAUGCUCCGUCUGCCUCUGCAAACUUCGGAUGACUCAGUGUCUACCCAGCGCCUGGUCAUCAGCACUCCUGCCAAGUGGAUCUCAGGACAAAGAAAGGACAUGACUGUCUAAAGGGGGCCCAGACAUGCAGGGAGGCAGGCUGCUGGCAUCUGAGAAAGUCCUAGGAGAGAACCUCCUCCAGUGUGUGAAGAGCUUCCCAAGCACCAGGUCCACUGACUGUGGCGUCAAAGACAGUGAAAAGCUGGCCUUGGGGUGAUGCCAUCCAGGAAGGCAUGCCAGAUCAGAUGCCCAGGUUGCGGGAGCAGAUGAAAUAAUGAGUACAGAAAGCAGAAGAUGCAGAGCACCACGCACAGCAGGAGGAUUCUUAUUCUUUUUAUUAGAUACAAACUUCUCCAAAAUCUUUUAUGGCUCCCCAUUUUCUCCUUAGGCCUGCACUGAAAGCCUUCCACAGUGUGACCCCAAGUUCCCUGUCCAGCCUCAUUACUCGCCCCUCCAACAUAGCUUGAUUCCAGCUACCAGAUACCAUUACCUAGCCAUGGAUGGGCUUCCUGCCUCAGGGUCUUUGCUCAGGUUGUCCCUUCUACCUACUAUGUAUUUCUUUCCAGCAACUACCACCUUCUCUGCUUGUGCCCUACUGCUGUGGUUCAAGAAGGAACUACCUGAGCAAGUAAGUGUCUUAGAAAGAUAACUAGGGGCCAGGCACAGUGGCUCACACCUGUAAUCCCAGCACUUUAGGAGGCUGAGGCUGGCACAUCGCUUGAGGCCAGGAGUUUGAGACUAGCCUGGGUAAUAUGGCAAAAUCCCAUCUCUAAAAAAAAAAAAAAAAAUUAGCUGGGCAUGGUGGCACAUGCCUGUAGUCCCAGCUACUCAGGAGGCUGAAGUGGGAGAAUCAUUUGAGCCCAGGAGGUCAAGGCUGCAGUGGGCCAUGAUUGUGCCACUGCACUCCAGCCUGAGUGACAGAGACUCUGUCUCAAAGGAAAAAAAAAAGAUAAUUCAGGAUAGAAAGUAUUGGGGACAUAGCAAGAGAUGAGCUUCAGAGACUGGCAGGGGCCAGAUCACAAAGGGUCCUAUGAGCUGGGUGAGUUUGUUCUCUAUCCUAAGCCGAUGGCAGAGAUGGGACAUAUAUGAUAUACAACACAGAUUAUAUAUAUGCAGUAGAGACAACAUACAACUGCUCAUGUAUACACAAAACCUGUUUCCUGUUUUUUUUCUUAGAUUUAGGGUUAGAUUUUAAGAUGAUAAAUAAGUGACCUAGACUUUCCUGGCUACUCCAUAUGGGAGGACACUGUCCCAUGGGCCUCUGAGGGCCUAGCACCAGCUCCCACAGGCUGUUUCUAGAUGUAUUGGGCCACUCUCAGGCACCAACACUGUCUGAGGGGCUGCUCCUAGUAACACCUGCCCCUCAAGCUCCCUGUGCCUCCUUCUCUUGUUUUCCAGCUGACACUUCUGCAGGCACGAGUCCCUGUCACUGUGCAUCUUUGCCAAGCUAAUGUGCUCCCUGGAGGAUGGGACCAGCACAGAGUCGUGUAGGGCCUGGGGCUGUGUGUGUGACCUGUGUGUAGUGAUGGAGACUAAUUCAAAGCAGGGUGGGAGUGAGACAGAAGUGUGGUACAAAUAGAGAGCAUGGAGAAUGGGCUCAAGGUGCAGGAAGGGGCAAGGAUGAAAGCUGAGUUCCAGGCCAGCUCUGCCACUGACAAGCUGUGAUUUCCCUCACCCCAAAAUGACAGUAAUGACACUUCACCUCCCUGAAGGCAGGAGCCAGGUUAAAGGGGCAUGUUGGAGUGAUUUUAAAUGACAGCUGUGACUGUGACUGUGACAGGAACCCCCUGUGUUUAUGAUUUGAGAUUUUAUGUGUGUGGAUUUUGUAUAUGCAUGGGUAGUUGCGUGUUGUCUCCAGUGCAUGUACAUAAUCUGUGUCAUGUAUUACAUGUGUUCUAUAUGGGGGCAAGAGCAGGUUACAUGUUAUAUGUGAUAUACUAAUGUAUGAGUUACAUAUUGUACAGUUUGGGUGUUACACUUUUUGGGUUUAUGGGCAACAUGUCAGUAUUAUGGCUGCAGUAUUGUUAUAAUUUAUAUGUUGUAUAUUGUAUUUAACUUGCAUAUGAACUCCAGACUCAUAUAUCCAACUGCCUUCUCAAUAUCUCUACUUGGACACCUAACCAGUUUUCUUAAACUUAACAUGUCCAAAACAGCCUAAGAUUCCUCCAAACCUGCUUCCCUCACCAUCUUUCUCAAGCCCAUACGUAGCAAUCUUAUUUUUUCAGUUGCUGUAACUCUUUUUUGUCCACAUUCCACAUUCAAUUCAUAAGCAAAUCCUGUUGGCUGGCCUUUGCACUAUAUCUGCAGUCUGUCCACUUCUCAUUAUUCCCACAGUAAUAAUGUGGGAAUAAGGGUUCAGCCACCAUCACCUCGCUUCUGGAUUAUUGCAAUGACCUCUUAAGUGGUUUCCCUGCCUUCUCCCUUGUCCUCUACAGUCUGUUCUCAAUACUGCAGUCAGAAUAAAAUGUCACACCAUGUCCCUUCCCUACUCAGAGCCCUCAAUGGUUUCCCCCCAGUUAGAGUGAAAUCCAGAGCUGGCUCUUACAAUGGUCUAGAAGGCCCUUUGGGCUGCCCCAAGCCACCUCUCUGGCUGCAUCUCUUCCUAGUUUCCUCACUCCAACUGUACCAGCUUCCUUGCUAUUCCUUGAACAUACUAGGCAUGCUCCUGCAUUAGGGCUUUUGCGGUUUCUGUCUCUUCAGCCUGAAAUGCUUGUUCCCACAGAUAAUUGCAUGGUAGCUCACAGCCUGAAAUGCUUGUUCCUGCAGAUAAUUGCGUGGUAGCUCACUAUCUCACCUCCCUCAUUCCCUUUUUAUUUAUUAUUAUUAUUAUUAUUAUUUUAGAAAAGGUCUCACUCUGUCACCCAGGCUGGAGUGCAGUGGCAUCAUAACUCACUGUGACCUCAAACUCCUGGGCUCAAGGGAUCUUCCUGCCUCAGCCUCCUGAGUAGCUUGGGACUAUAGGUGCAUAGUACUAUACCUGGCUAGUUUUUAAAUUUUUUUUAGAUAUAGGGUCUUACUACAUUGCCCAGACUAGUCUUGAACUCCUGGCCUCAAGUGAUCUUCCUGCCUAGGCCUCCCAAAGUGUUGGGAUUACAAGUGUGAGCCACCACACCCACCCCCCUUCACCUUCUUUACUCAAAUACCUUCUCAGGGCUUCCCUGACCAUUCCAUUUAAAACUAGAACCCCCUGCUCACCUGGACUUCCCUAUUCCCAUUCUCUACUUUCUGUUUCUCCUUAGCCCUUAUCGCCAUCUGCCAUGCACUAUAUUUUAUUUAUUUAUCUGAUUUCUAGCCUGGCUCACCCAUUAGAAUAUAAGUCCCUUGAGGGCAGACAGGGAUUUGCAUCUGUUUUGCUUACUGCUGAAUCCCCAGUGUCUACUACAAUGUUAGGUGUCCAAUAUAAACAACUGAAUACAAUGAAUUAAUUCUGCUGGCUGAAUUGAUCUAUGUGUAGGUCUGCCCAGGUUGUGCUCUUUGUGUGGACUCCCUAUGCUGUGUGUGUAGUCUCUGUGUGGUUCAAUUUUGUGUCUAUAUAUUCUGUUGUAUGAGUGUCAUCUCUGUGGGCUAUAUUGGGUGGCUCUAUACAGUGUCUGUGUGGGUGCUAGUGUGCAGUGCGUUGUGUGUGUGAUGUGUAUGUACACUUUUGAGCACUGUGUGUACAACUGUUAGAGUAGGCAGACAGCUGGACAUGAGCAGAAGGGGGAGUCCCUGAGAAAAGGGAAAUCUAGAAAAUCUCACACCUAGAGACCACCCAAAACAUUCAUGCUAGAUAUGAGCAGAGAGGAGGGGAAAUACCUGUGCAGAAAGGAAUGCCCCUUAAGAUGCCCAGAAACUGCUCACUCUGCAGUUCUCCCAUCAGAAUGUAGCUAGCUCCAUGUUGAGGAGGGGGGGAAGGGCAAAGGGGAAAUCCCUAAGAAAUAUGCAGGCCCAAUCAGAUUUGACCGCUAUACCACCUUCCUAGGGUGGUGGUAAUGAGUGAUGCCACCAUUAGGUAGUAUUUGUGCCCAGAGCUGGGCAUGCGCACAAGCUAAUAGGAAGGGGAGGUCCCACAAGCCUGGGUGGGAACUAGGUGAGGAACAGGCAGGGACUUAAAGAAGGAAUGGGAAAACUAGACAAAGAAAAAGGCAGAGAUUUAGGACAGAGACAGGAACUUCAAGAAAAAAACCCAAUGCAGAACUCUUAGGGCUGCCGCUGGUUCAUUCUCUUUUAGCAGCCUGCCCCACUCUGCCUCACCUUUCAGAGUGCACUGUCCCUUUAAAGAAACACAGCUAUUGCUGCUGCUCCCAGCUGGGUCAGCCUGCUCCUGUCUUAGACUGUACUCUUAUCUCCUUAAUAAACCUUUGGCUUAU
This is a long non-coding RNA of Pongo pygmaeus (Bornean orangutan), 4958 nucleotides long. RefSeq lists it as uncharacterized. The transcript has 5 exons. NCBI's taxonomy places the organism in Eukaryota, Metazoa, Chordata, Mammalia, Primates, Hominidae. The record is from RefSeq and is a predicted model, not a curated record.